This 301-nucleotide ribosomal RNA is filed under the name uncultured bacterium. Its description in RNAcentral is "partial 16S ribosomal RNA". It matches the Rfam family "Bacterial small subunit ribosomal RNA", at positions 512 to 808 of the family's 1533-position model. The record is from RNAcentral.
CAGUCGCCAGGGAAUACGUAGGGUGCAAGCGUUAAUCGGAAUUACUGGGCGCAAAGCGUGCGCAGGCGGUUCGUUAAGACAGAUGUGAAAUCCCCGGGCUUAACCUGGGAACUGCAUUUGUGACUGGCGGGCUAGAGUAUGGCAGAGGGGGGUAGAAUUCCACGUGUAGCAGUGAAAUGCGUAGAGAUGUGGAGGAAUACCGAUGGCGAAGGCAGCCCCCUGGGCCAAUACUGACGCUCAUGCACGAAAGCGUGGGGAGCAAACAGGAUUAGAGACCCCAGUAGUCCCUGUCUCUUAUACA